This 410-nucleotide ribosomal RNA is filed under the name uncultured bacterium. RNAcentral describes it as "bacterial SSU rRNA". It matches the Rfam family "Bacterial small subunit ribosomal RNA", at positions 246 to 653 of the family's 1533-position model. The record is from RNAcentral.
UUGUUGGCGGGGUAACGGCCCACCAAGACAUCGAUGGAUAGGGGUUCUGAGAGGAAGGUCCCCCACAUUGGAACUGAGACACGGUCCAAACUCCUACGGGAGGCAGCAGUGAGGAAUAUUGGUCAAUGGACGAGAGUCUGAACCAGCCAAGUAGCGUGAAGGAUGACUGCCCUAUGGGUUGUAAACUUCUUUUAUAUGGGAAUAAAGUGAGCCACGUGUGGCUUUUUGUAUGUACCAUACGAAUAAGGAUCGGCUAACUCCGUGCCAGCAGCCGCGGUAAUACGGAGGAUCCGAGCGUUAUCCGGAUUUAUUGGGUUUAAAGGGAGCGUAGGCGGACUAUUAAGUCAGCUGUGAAAGUUUGCGGCUCAACCGUAAAAUUGCAGUUGAUACUGGUCGUCUUGAGUGCAGUA